This is a long non-coding RNA of Schistocerca americana (American grasshopper), 232 nucleotides long. RefSeq lists it as uncharacterized. Lineage: Eukaryota; Metazoa; Arthropoda; Insecta; Orthoptera; Acrididae. The transcript has 3 exons. The record is from RefSeq and is a predicted model, not a curated record.
CUCGUCGGAGGAGGAGGAACAACGUCAGGAGGCGGAUGUUGUGCUGCGUUGGGCGGCGGAUGUUGAAGAGCUGGCGCCGGAGAUGUGGCGUCAGUGUCUGGAACAGCGGCCUUUGUGAAGCCACACAGGAUUAGCCAAGCGGUCUAAGGUGCUGCGGUCAUGGACUAUGAGGCUGAUCUCGGCAGAGGUUCGAGUCCUCCCUCGGGCAUGGAUUGAAUGCUACAGAGCCUGG